Molecule: non-coding RNA, 237 nt
Organism: Pelobates cultripes (western spadefoot toad)
Lineage: Eukaryota; Metazoa; Chordata; Amphibia; Anura; Pelobatidae
Source: the annotation of a GenBank genome assembly
CAUAUUUGCACAUUUAAAUUUGCCAGAUUGGUUUGCUGGGCCUAUGUUGCCUUUGAGACGGUAUUACAGCCCAGGAAUGAAAAUGAACCCCAUCAUGAAACACCAUUUGAAAAAAAUAAACAACGCAGGGUAUUCACAAUGGGGUAUGUCCAGUCUUUUGUAGUAGCCACAAAUGCUUACAAAGACAGCACUUUUACUGGUAAUUUCAUCGUAGUGAUAAGUUUUACUGUUGUAAAC